Molecule: ribosomal RNA, 468 nt
Filed under: uncultured bacterium
Lineage: Bacteria
Description: partial 16S ribosomal RNA
Rfam family: Bacterial small subunit ribosomal RNA
Source: RNAcentral
GACGAACGCUGGCGGCGUGCUUAACACAUGCCAGUCGAACGGAAAGGCCCUGCUCUUGCGGGGUGCUCGAGUGGCGAACGGGUGAGUAACACGUGAGUAACCUCCCCCUGACUUUGGGAUAACUCCAGGAAACUGGGGCUAUUACCGGAUAGGAGCUCCUGCUGCACGGUGGUGGUUGGCAAGUUUCGGCGGUUGGGGCUGGUCUCGCGGCUUCCCCGCUUGUUGGUGGGGUAGUGGCUUACCCAGGCUUUGACGGGUAGCCGGCCUGGGAGGGGGACCGGCCACAUUGGGACUGAGAGACGGCGCAGACGCCUACGGGAGGCAGCAGUGGGGAGUAUGGCGCAAUGGGCGGGAGCCUGAGGCAGCGGCGCCGCGUGCGGGAUGACGGCCUUCGGGUGGUGAACCGCUUUCGCCGGUGACGAGGCGUGAGUGACGGUAAUGGGUAAAGAAGCACCGGCUAACUACGUG